CAUGGAGGUGCCUGCGCAGAUCUUUCAUGAGAGAACUUGCUGGAAGCAAUAGCUGCAGCUAUUCUCUCCCAGGACUAGGACUCUUUCUACCCAGUGACUGUGCAUGAUGAGGGUACUCCAGUUAUUCCACAACUGUAGCCCAAUAUCUGAGCCACCUAAUGGACAGGCUUUACCCUGGGCUUCCCAUUUGGCAGCCCAAAGCUUUGUUAGUCCUUCAACAUGGUCUGAAGCUCUUCUCAGAGAACCUUCCUUUUUCUUUCUUUCCUUUUGCAAGUGUCAAACUUACACUGAAAUCUGCUCCUACCUCUUUAUUCUUUAUGAGUAUUUCAUCCAAUUAAUCUUUUACAUAACUGAUUUCAUCUUGAUCUGCUUCCCAGAAGAAAGUCACAUGGAUCAUUUAAAUAAAACAUUAAAAUCAAUAUACUGAUUAGGUUAGAGGUAUAUGGUAUUACUAAAAUCAAAAGGUCACACAGUUAUUCUCAAAAAUCCUAAUGAAAACCACAUGCUUACCCUGACUAGUUUUGAAUUAAUUAUUAUUUGCAAGUUUCAAUUAGUUUACCAGAAAAAAAUAGUGAAACAAUCAGUGUUUUGUGUUGUCCUCCCUGUCUACAAUACUAGUUUGGAAUGGAUUUUCACCCUUACCUCCAGAACAUUCUAGUCACCAGAAAGACAGUCUUGGGAGAAAGUUAAAAGAAAGAAGCAAUAUUAUCAUAUUGAUGUUUAUCAAGGUUGGAGAUGAAAAUUGAAGUGGAAAUUUUUUGAAAAUAUAAAUUUUAGAGAUAUCCUGUGGUGAAUACUAUGUGAAUAAAAUGAUAAGAAAUAGACAUGUUAGACACGCAAGGGAUAAUGCAUUUGGUUUAUACCAGGCUACACAGAGAAGGAAAAGUAGGCAUAUUUUGCACUGCAGAGACUCUUAAUGUCACAUUAAAGAAAUGAGAUUUGGCAAAACUAAACAGCUGUAAAUAGUGUGGGGGGGAGAAAAGAUAAAAAAGUUUCUACCCAGGAAGGAUAGAAAAAUGGUGGCCCUUGAAUGAAAAUGGAAAGUUGGGUACAAGAAUGAAUUUUACAG
This 1069-nucleotide long non-coding RNA is filed under the name Marmota monax (woodchuck). The record is from RNAcentral. Lineage: Eukaryota; Metazoa; Chordata; Mammalia; Rodentia; Sciuridae.